AUGACUAUAUCACAUUGAUACACUGGUUCUCAUAUGAUCACCAAAGUUAAGCAACAUUGAGCCUGGUCAGUACCUAGAUUAGUGACUGCUUGGGAAUACCAGAUGGUGUAAG
This is a non-coding RNA of Acanthosepion pharaonis, 112 nucleotides long. The record is from the annotation of a GenBank genome assembly. Lineage: Eukaryota; Metazoa; Mollusca; Cephalopoda; Sepiida; Sepiidae.